CGGCGAGUGAAGCGGCAAAAAGCUCAAAUUUGAAUCUGGCGCCUUCGGUGUCCGAGUUGUAAUUUGAAGAUUGUAACCUUGGGGUUGGCUCUUGUCUAUGUUUCUUGGAACAGGACGUCACAGAGGGUGAGAAUCCCGUGCGAUGAGAUGCCCAAUUCUAUGUAAGGUGCUUUCGAAGAGUCGAGUUGUUUGGGAAUGCAGCUCUAAGUGGGUGGUAAAUUCCAUCUAAAGCUAAAUAUUGGCGAGAGACCGAUAGCGAACAAGUACAGUGAUGGAAAGAUGAAAAGAACUUUGAAAAGAGAGUGAAAAAGUACGUGAAAUUGUUGAAAGGGAAGGGUUUGAGAUCAGACUCGAUAUUUUGUGAGCCUUGCCUUCGUGGCGGGGUGACCCGCAGCUUAUCGGGCCAGCAUCGGUUUGGGCGGUAGGAUAAUGGCGUAGGAAUGUGACUUUACUUCGGUGAAGUGUUAUAGCCUGCGUUGAUGCUGCCUGCCUAGACCGAGGACUGCGAUUUUAUCAAGGAUGCUGGCAUAAUGAUCCCAAACCGCCCGUCUUGAAACACGGACC
Molecule: ribosomal RNA, 564 nt
Filed under: Meyerozyma guilliermondii
Lineage: Eukaryota; Fungi; Ascomycota; Pichiomycetes; Serinales; Debaryomycetaceae
Description: LSU rRNA
Rfam family: Eukaryotic large subunit ribosomal RNA
Source: RNAcentral